RNAcentral lists this long non-coding RNA (607 nucleotides) under Gossypium raimondii (Peruvian cotton). RNAcentral describes it as "long non-coding RNA (GRAI_LNC005858)". The record is from RNAcentral. Lineage: Eukaryota; Viridiplantae; Streptophyta; Magnoliopsida; Malvales; Malvaceae.
AAAAAUUCAAAAACCUUUCAACUCUCUCUUCCCUCUCUCCCUUUCCGGCUGGGGGUGCGGUCAUCGGCCACCACGCCGGUCGUCGGCUGCCAUCGAUGGCGUCGCCAUCCGCGAUGCCGAGAAAACCAAAAUGCCCCAUUUUGCUCCUCUUUUCAGGUGUAGCCCAGAUUUGGGGUUAAAAUUACCCAAAAGACCCUCCAAGUUCUGUAAAACGAAGAGAAAAGAGAAGGACUUUUCGAUUUCCGUCACCCCCGAUAGAGAAACGCCCUCCGGCGAUGCGGUCACGGGGCGGCUCCGGUAAGCCUCUACUUCUUUUUGUUUAUUAUUUAGUAUAAAAGGAAAAAAAAUAAAAGAGAAAAAAAUCGAACAAGAAAUUAAAAAAAAUCACCUCUGAGAUCUAUUUUCUGUUUUUUUUAUUAAUCUUCGUAAAAAAUUACAAAGGGUGAAAUCUAGGCUUUUAUAGUUGAUCAAUUUUAGUCCAUUAUUGCUCGCAUGCUUCUAUUCUCUACUGUUGCAUUUAAUUUUUGCAGGUGUCAGACAAGCGUGACGAUGGCGUGCAGCGGCAGAAGCAGGUGUGAGGAGGCUGGCGGCUGGGGUCAAAAGACCU